Molecule: ribosomal RNA, 402 nt
Filed under: uncultured bacterium
Lineage: Bacteria
Description: bacterial SSU rRNA
Rfam family: Bacterial small subunit ribosomal RNA
Source: RNAcentral
UGGGGAAUCUUGCGCAAUGGGCGAAAGCCUGACGCAGCCAUGCCGCGUGAAUGAUGAAGGUCUUAGGAUUGUAAAAUUCUUUCACCGGGGACGAUAAUGACGGUACCCGGAGAAGAAGCCCCGGCUAACUUCGUGCCAGCAGCCGCGGUAAUACGAAGGGGGCUAGCGUUGCUCGGAAUUACUGGGAGUAAAGGGAGCGUAGGCGGACAUUUAAGUAAGGGGUGAAAUUCCGGGGCUCAACCUCGGAAUUGCCUUUGAUACUGGGUGUCUUGAGUGUGAGAGAUGUAUGUAGAGCACCGAGUGUAGAUGUGAUAUUCGUAGAUAUUCGGAAGAACACCAGUGGCGAAGGCGACAUACUGGCUCAUUACUGACGCUGAGGCGCGAAAGCGUGGAGCUCAAACA